Molecule: ribosomal RNA, 500 nt
Filed under: uncultured bacterium
Lineage: Bacteria
Description: partial 16S ribosomal RNA
Rfam family: Bacterial small subunit ribosomal RNA
Source: RNAcentral
AUUGAACGCUGGCGGAAUGCUUUACACAUGCAAGUCGAACGGCAGCACGGACUUCGGUCUGGUGGCGAGUGGCGAACGGGUGAGUAAUGUAUCGGAACGUGCCCAGUCGUGGGGGAUAACGUAGUGAAAAUUACGCUAAUACCGCAUACGAUCUAUGGAUGAAAGCGGGGGAUCGCAAGACCUCGCGCGAUUGGAGCGGCCGAUAUCAGAUUAGGUAGUUGGUGGGGUAAAGGCCCACCAAGCCAACGAUCUGUAGCUGGUCUGAGAGGACGACCAGCCACACUGGAACUGAGACACGGUCCAGCCUCCUACGGGAGGCAGCAGUGGGGAAUUUUGGACAAUGGGCGAAAGCCUGAUCCAGACAUUCCGCGUGCAGGAUGAAGGCCCUCGGGUUGUAAACUGCUUUUGUACAGAACGAAAAGGUUUCUACUAAUACUAGGAGCUCAUGACGGUACUGUAAGAAUAAGCACCGGCUAACUACGUGCCAGCCGCCGCAGUAA